This is a small nuclear RNA of Cavia aperea (Brazilian guinea pig), 107 nucleotides long. Lineage: Eukaryota; Metazoa; Chordata; Mammalia; Rodentia; Caviidae. The record is from Ensembl.
GUGCUCACUUCAGCAGCAUAUGUACUAAAAUUGGAACGAUACAGAGAAGAUUAGCAUGGCCCCUGCUGAAGGCUGACACGUAGAUUCAUGAAGCAUUCCAUAUUUUU